This 552-nucleotide long non-coding RNA is filed under the name Bos taurus (domestic cattle). RNAcentral's name for it is "long non-coding RNA NONBTAT020539". The record is from RNAcentral. Lineage: Eukaryota; Metazoa; Chordata; Mammalia; Artiodactyla; Bovidae.
GUAGCCUUCAUAUGGAUAUAUUUCAGUUCAAUCCUACUUAGUUCAACUAAUUAGAUCAACAGUUGUAUAUGAGUGUUUUCAGAAUUUACAUCUUCUGAACAUUUUAGGCAGGGCAUCAAAUCUGAAUUAAAAUAAUAAAAUUUCUUAGUAAAAGUUAGGUCUCAUUUUAAAAUGACUCAGUCUAGAAGAUUGAGAGACUAAAACUGAAGUUUGGUGUUUAAUAUUUUGGAACUCUUUGAUUCUGAUAAAUUAUACUUUUUGUAUUAUCUUCUUGGAUGUUGCUCUUUUGGAAAAAAUGUGUUUUCUAUAUUCUUUGUAACUUGAAAUAUAAAAUGAAUGAUCAGAGAAGAAUACACGUUCUUUAAAUAAGAUGAAAAUUAGAAAGAAAAGUUCUAUUCUGUCUAAUUUGAUUUGCUAAGGAAGAAAUUUCUUAUCUAAAUUCAAAUUUGUAACUAUUUGGGAAAUAAAAAAGAUAAGAUUGAAUGUGGAGAAAGCAAUGCUCUGUGUAAAAUACAUAUAGAAAACAAGUGAGGAAUUACUGCUCUGUAUGGA